UACGGGGGGGGCAAGCGUUGUUCGGAAUUACUGGGCGUAAAGGGCGCGUAGGCGGUUGGAUAAGUCAGCUGUGAAAACCCCGAGCUUAACUCGUGGCCUGCAGUUGAGACUGUCUGGCUUGAGUGUGGGAGAGGAGAGUGGAAUUCCUGGUGUAGCGGUGAAAUGCGUAGAUAUCAGGAGGAACACCGGUGGCGAAGGCGGCUCUCUGGACCACAACUGACGCUGAGGCGCGAAAGCUAGGGGAGCAAACAGG
Molecule: ribosomal RNA, 253 nt
Filed under: uncultured bacterium
Lineage: Bacteria
Description: partial 16S ribosomal RNA
Rfam family: Bacterial small subunit ribosomal RNA
Source: RNAcentral